CAAAGGAUUUGAUUUUUCAUCAAACAUUUACAAUUGACAGCUGCACUUGAAAACUAAGUGAUGGGUAUAAUAUGCAAACUGCAAGUUAGUAUAGAAUAAAUAAGUGAAAUUUGCAUUGCAAAAUAAUUGGCAGAAGCUUGCAAAUUUUACCCAAAACCAUUAUUUGGUAUACGAGUGACUAGUAAGGUAUUGUUUAAUCAAUAACAUUUUUACAGCACAGUCCCAACAUGCUGAUUAGUUCUUAAGCCCCCUCUGCACAAAUGAUCAUGGUAAGGAGAUCAUCCAAAUUCUUUGAUGGAACGUACUUGUUUAUUAUUCUCAGGUUGAUUUUCUCUGGUACACAGGGCUUUUGGGUGUCGAUGUACUUUGAUCUCUUAGAGCAGUGACUCUCAUCUGCUAAGGCUGUGGCACCUGGAUUGUCAACAUUUAUUUGUCAACAAAAUUCAUGAUUCCAAGUUUCCAAAGCAGCCUUUGUCCAGUUAGUUACAGAAUAAAAGAUGUGUGAUGUAGUUCUGUGACCUUCCUCACGCAAGAGAAGAACCACCAUUUUUGUAGCAGAACCACCUGAAUCGACAAGUAAAUGUGCAAAGACAGAUAAAGAUGAUGCUUGUAUUAUUUGUGGAAAAGCAGCAACCUCUAAAAGAAAUCCACUUCAACAACCUUCUGAAGAGACCUGGAAUUUCCUGGCCCAAAAACGUGAAGAAUGGAGGCAGCUAAACACUGAGUUCGGCAACCGUUAUGAAUGCAUACAGGUUGAUUAUGAAUUCAAAGCAAGCAGCUGUCACCUACUGACGUGAAGUUAUGAUGUUACCUCCCACGGAACAAGCAAAACGAGGUUACCUCCAACAGAUAUUAAGCAAGAUGAUGUUACCUCCUAACCAAGAACGCUUGGAGUAUUCAGAGUAUUCAUCACUUUAGUGAGGUUUCUACCUAUUGAAGCAUCUAUCGGUCAUUACAUUUUUAAAUAAGCGAGGGAGUUCGAACGUUAUUUCAGAAUUAUUUACACAAUGUCAUUUUUAGUACUACCAGCCCAGAUGUGACGGUAUCUCAGUCAGCGAAGAGUUAAUUUCACUAAUUUAUUUUUUACUAUAUCUCCUUUUACAUUUUUUAUUAGAAAUAUUUUUUGUAAAAGGGAAAGUAAAACCUGGAAUACCCAGACUUUUAUUCUACCGGAACAAAAAAUUACAAUGGUAGUAACUUUUUUUUUACUCCUACAGUAAGGGGCAUUAACUCUUCUCUCGGAAGGUAGCCAGGCUGAUUAACGAGGAUAAAGCAGAGUAAUCUGGCCUGUUUUGAGGUGAGGUUUGAUCCUAUAAUUGUUUUACAAGAGAUUCAAAAUCAUUCAGCUACACUGGUCUAGUUCCCCUUCCACUAUACCACUGCCGAAGGUAGUUAGCUUUUUACUAUGUUUGGUUAAGUUGAAUCAAAGCUUAAAAACCGCAUUUUAAUAUACACCAAGACCAGAAAAUGCUAGUCUUCCAAAAUUCUCGUUCAUUAGCCAAGGGAUUUAAAGAUUAUGGUUACAUACUUAACCAAUACACAUGCACCUACUUCCUAGACCUUUAAACUAAGAAUUACAUGGCUUGGAUGCAAUACCAGUGCCAAAGAUUGUUAGUUUUCACCACGAUUUUAGCUAAAAUCUACGCAUUACCGUUUACGGUCACCUGUUCUAGUUCUUAAGUAUCAAAGCCCCAAUUGUUUUAUCUCGAGUGCAAGUAGGGUAGUCUGCCCGAAAACUCGGGCAACUAGAGAAAACGAAUUUUCAU
Molecule: long non-coding RNA, 1766 nt
Organism: Macrobrachium nipponense
Lineage: Eukaryota; Metazoa; Arthropoda; Malacostraca; Decapoda; Palaemonidae
Exons: 3
Source: RefSeq, a predicted model, not a curated record